Molecule: ribosomal RNA, 301 nt
Filed under: uncultured bacterium
Lineage: Bacteria
Description: partial 16S ribosomal RNA
Rfam family: Bacterial small subunit ribosomal RNA
Source: RNAcentral
CAGUAGCCGCGGGAAUACAGAGGGUGCGAGCGUUAAUCGGAUUUACUGGGCGUAAAGCGUGCGUAGGCGGCUUCUUAAGUCGGAUGUGAAAUCCCUGAGCUUAACUUAGGAAUUGCAUUCGAUACUGGGAAGCUAGAGUAUGGGAGAGGAUGGUAGAAUUCCAGGUGUAGCGGUGAAAUGCGUAGAGAUCUGGAGGAAUACCGAUGGCGAAGGCAGCCAUUUGGCCUAAUACUGACGCUGAGGUACGAAAGCAUGGGGAUCAAACAGGAUUAGAUACCCCAGUAGUCCCUGUCUCUUAUAC